AUCUACAGCCAUGCUACCCUGAACAAGCCUGAUCCCGUCUGAUCUCGGAAGCUAAGCAGGGUAGGGCCUGGUUAGUAUUUGGAAGGGAGACCACCUAGGAAGACCAAGUGCUGUAGAUG
This 119-nucleotide ribosomal RNA is filed under the name Pteropus alecto (black flying fox). The record is from RNAcentral. Lineage: Eukaryota; Metazoa; Chordata; Mammalia; Chiroptera; Pteropodidae.